CCAUACCCCCAUACCACUCUGAACACACCAAAUCUCAUCUGAUCUCAGACACUAAGCAGGGUUGGGUCUGGUUUGUAUUGGAUGGGAGGAAGCC
Molecule: ribosomal RNA, 94 nt
Filed under: Propithecus coquereli (Coquerel's sifaka)
Lineage: Eukaryota; Metazoa; Chordata; Mammalia; Primates; Indriidae
Source: RNAcentral